This 405-nucleotide ribosomal RNA is filed under the name Megastomia corimbensis. Its description in RNAcentral is "partial 16S ribosomal RNA". The record is from RNAcentral. Lineage: Eukaryota; Metazoa; Mollusca; Gastropoda; Pyramidellidae.
AGCCUAAAGAAUGUCUUUUAGGUUGCUUCUGCCCUAUGAAUAUAUCUUAAAUGGCCGCAGUAUCCUGACUGUGCAAAGGUAGCAUAAUCAAUUGGCUUUUAAUUAAAGUCUGGAAUGAAUGAAGGCAUGGGAAAAAGCUGUUUCAAUAAAAAUUCUUUAUAAAUUAAUUUUCAGGUAAAAAUACCUGAUCUUUUAAAAAAGACGAGAAGACCCCAAAAGCUUUCAUAAAGUUAAUUAUAACUAGUUAAUUUUUUUAGUUGGGGCGACUAUAAAAGAAACACGAAAACUUUUAUGUAUAGUUCUUAUAUAACGUAAAUUGAAAUUAAAAUUAAGCUACUUUGGGGAUAACAGCAUAAUAUUUCUAUAUGGUUAUGACCUCGGUGUUGGACUAAGAAUAAAAAUGGG